GACGGAGGGUGCAAGCGUUGUUCGGAUUGACUGGGCGUAAAGGGCGUGUAGGCGGUUGGUCAAGUCUGGUGUGAAAGCCCGGGGCUCAGCUCCGGAAGUGCAUCGGAAACUAGCCGACUGGAGCGCGAUAGAGGAGGGUGGAAUUCCUGGUGUAGCGGUGAAAUGCGUAGAUAUCAGGAGGAACACCGGCGGCGAAGGCGGCCCUCUGGAUCGUUGCUGACGCUGAGACGCGAAAGCGUGGGGAGCAAACAGG
Molecule: non-coding RNA, 253 nt
Filed under: uncultured delta proteobacterium
Lineage: Bacteria; Deltaproteobacteria
Also listed under: 1 other name
Description: contains 16S-23S intergenic spacer region
Rfam family: Bacterial small subunit ribosomal RNA
Source: RNAcentral